GACGUAGGGGGCAAGCGUUGUCCGGAUUUAUUGGGCGUAAAGAGCGUGUAGGCGGCCAGGGAGGUCCGUUGUGAAAACUCGAGGCUCAACCUCGAGACGCCGAUGGAAACCCCCUGGCUAGAGUCCGGAAGAGGAGAAUGGAAUUCCUGGUGUAGCGGUGAAAUGCGCAGAUAUCAGGAAGAACACCCGUGGCUAAGGCGGUUCUCUAGUACGGUACUGACGCUGAGACGCGAAAGCGUGGGGAGCGAACAGG
Molecule: ribosomal RNA, 253 nt
Filed under: uncultured bacterium
Lineage: Bacteria
Description: partial 16S ribosomal RNA
Rfam family: Bacterial small subunit ribosomal RNA
Source: RNAcentral